UACUUGGACCUGCUGCAGAAGGCCUAUCUCGGAAAUUUGUUACCCGCUCAGAAUUCAGAGUAUGGUGUUCCCUUGGGUGGCAAAACUGGUGUAUCUAGUCCUCAUGGUUACUAUGGAAAUCCUGCUUUUGGGCUUGGAUUGUCAUAUCCUGGCAGUCCCUUGGCAAGCCCAGUAAUUCCCAAUGCAGCUGGAGGACCUGGCAGCCCCAUCAGGCAUGGAGACUUCAGUAUGAGAUACCCUGGCGGGCUGAGAAAUGCAGCUGGG
Molecule: long non-coding RNA, 264 nt
Filed under: Salvia miltiorrhiza (redroot sage)
Lineage: Eukaryota; Viridiplantae; Streptophyta; Magnoliopsida; Lamiales; Lamiaceae
Description: long non-coding RNA (SMIL_LNC010468)
Source: RNAcentral